UACGAAGGGGGCUAGCGUUGCUCGGAAUCACUGGGCGUAAAGCGCACGUAGGCGGAUUUUUAAGUCAGGGGUGAAAUCCUGGAGCUCAACUCCAGAACUGCCUUUGAUACUGGGAAUCUCGAGUCCGGGAGAGGUGAGUGGAACUACGAGUGUAGAGGUGAAAUUCGUAGAUAUUCGCAAGAACACCAGUGGCGAAGGCGGCUCACUGGCCCGGUACUGACGCUGAGGUGCGAAAGCGUGGGGAGCAAACAGG
Molecule: ribosomal RNA, 253 nt
Filed under: uncultured bacterium
Lineage: Bacteria
Description: partial 16S ribosomal RNA
Rfam family: Bacterial small subunit ribosomal RNA
Source: RNAcentral